This 253-nucleotide ribosomal RNA is filed under the name uncultured bacterium. RNAcentral describes it as "partial 16S ribosomal RNA". It matches the Rfam family "Bacterial small subunit ribosomal RNA", at positions 524 to 776 of the family's 1533-position model. The record is from RNAcentral.
AACGAGUGCCCCGAGCGUUAUCCGGAAUUAUUGGGCGUAAAGGGUGAGUAGGUGGUUUGAUUAGUCGAUUGUUAAAGCCUGGGGCUCAACUCCAGAAUCGCAAUCGAAACGGUCAGACUAGAAUAUGUGAGAGGUAUGCGGAACUCUAUGUGUAGGGGUGAAAUCCGUUGAUAUAUAGGGGAACACCAAAAGCGAAGGCAGCAUACUGGCACAUUAUUGACACUGAAUCACGAAAGCGUGGGUAGCGAAUGGG